GGAGUCGGUCAGACAGUCGCUGCUUUCUUUAAUGAAAGUGGAGGAAAGUCCGGGCUCCACAGGGUAGGGUGCCAGGUAACGCCUGGGAGGUGUGAGCCUACGGAAAGUGCCGCAGAAAAUAUACCGCCUAAGCGCUUGCGGGCGCCGGUAAGGGUGAAAUGGUGCGGUAAGAGCGCACCGCGCGGCUGGUAACAGCCGUGGCAGGGAAAACCCCACCCGGAGCAAGACCAAAUAGGGGGGCACUGGGUUUAUCCCUGACGCGCGACCCGCGCGGCUCCCGGGUAGGUCGCUCGAGGCGCACGGUGACGUGCGUCCCAGAUGAAUGACUGUCCACGACAGAACCCGGCUUAUCGACCGGCUCCUCCU
RNAcentral lists this RNase P RNA (366 nucleotides) under Methylococcaceae bacterium. RNAcentral's name for it is "RNase P RNA component class A". It matches the Rfam family "Bacterial RNase P class A". From Rfam's summary of the family: Ribonuclease P (RNase P) is a ubiquitous endoribonuclease, found in archaea, bacteria and eukarya as well as chloroplasts and mitochondria. Its best characterised activity is the generation of mature 5'-ends of tRNAs by cleaving the 5'-leader elements of precursor-tRNAs. Lineage: Bacteria; Pseudomonadati; Pseudomonadota; Gammaproteobacteria; Methylococcales; Methylococcaceae. The record is from RNAcentral.